CUACGGGGGGCUGCAGUGGGGAAUAUUGCACAAUGGAGGAAACUCUGAUGCAGCAACGCCGCGUGGAGGAUGACACUUUUCGGAGCGUAAACUCCUUUUAUAUAGGAAGAUAAUGACGGUACUAUAUGAAUAAGCACCGGCUAACUCCGUGCCAGCAGCCGCGGUAAUACGGAGGGUGCAAGCGUUACUCGGAAUCACUGGGCGUAAAGAGCGUGUAGGCGGAUAGAUAAGUCAGGAGUGAAAUCCUAUGGCUCAACCAUAGAACUGCUCUUGAAACUGUCUAUCUAGAAUAUGGGAGAGGUAGAUGGAAUUUCUGGUGUAGGGGUAAAAUCCGUAGAGAUCAGAAGGAAUACCGAUUGCGAAGGCGAUCUACUGGAACAUUAUUGACGCUGAGACGCGAAAGCGUGGGGAGCAAACAGGAUUAGAUACCCGAGUAGUC
This 439-nucleotide ribosomal RNA is filed under the name uncultured bacterium. RNAcentral's name for it is "partial 16S ribosomal RNA". It matches the Rfam family "Bacterial small subunit ribosomal RNA", at positions 339 to 795 of the family's 1533-position model. The record is from RNAcentral.